CCUACGGGGGGCAGCAGUGGGGAAUAUUGCACAAUGGGGGAAACCCUGAUGCAGCGACGCCGCGUGAGUGAAGAAGUAUUUCGGUACGUAAAGCUCUAUCAGCAGGGAAGAAAAUGACGGUACCUGACUAAGAAGCCCCGGCUAACUACGUGCCAGCAGCCGCGGUAAUACGUAGGGGGCAAGCGUUAUCCGGAUUUACUGGGUGUAAAGGGAGCGUAGACGGCAGCGCAAGUCUGGAGUGAAAUCCCAUGGCUUAACCAUGGAACUGCUUUGGAAACUGUGCAGCUAGAGUGCAGGAGAGGUAAGCGGAAUUCCUAGUGUAGCGGUGAAAUGCGUAGAUAUUAGGAGGAACACCAGUAGCGAAGGCGGCUUACUGGACUGUAACUGACGUUGAGGCUCGAAAGCGUGGGGAGCAAACAGGAUUAGAUACCCUAGUAGUC
RNAcentral lists this ribosomal RNA (440 nucleotides) under uncultured bacterium. RNAcentral describes it as "partial 16S ribosomal RNA". It matches the Rfam family "Bacterial small subunit ribosomal RNA", at positions 338 to 795 of the family's 1533-position model. The record is from RNAcentral.